Molecule: ribosomal RNA, 501 nt
Filed under: uncultured archaeon
Lineage: Archaea
Description: bacterial SSU rRNA
Rfam family: Bacterial small subunit ribosomal RNA
Source: RNAcentral
UUAAAAGCUCUUUUGUUAGGGAAGAAAAGGUGUAUUGAAUAAAUGCAAUUCAUGACGGUACCUAAAGAAUAAGCACCGGCUAACUACGUGCCAGCAGCCGCGGUAAUACGUAGGGUGCGAGCGUUAAUCGGAAUUACUGGGCGUAAAGCGUGCGCAGGCGGUUACAUAAGUCAGAUGUGAAAUCCCCGGGCUUAACCUGGGAACUGCAUUUGAGACUGUGUAGCUAGAGUGUGUCAGAGGGGGGUAGAAUUCCACGUGUAGCAGUGAAAUGCGUAGAGAUGUGGAGGAAUACCGAUGGCGAAGGCAGCUCCCUGGGAUAACACUGACGCUCAUGCACGAAAGCGUGGGGAGCAAACAGGAUUAGAUACCCUGGUAGUCCACGCCCUAAACGAUGUCUACUAGUUGUUGGGUCUUAAUUGACUUGGUAACGCAGCUAACGCGUGAAGUAGACCGCCUGGGGAGUACGGUCGCAAGAUUAAAACUCAAAGGAAUUGACGGGGA